Molecule: non-coding RNA, 45 nt
Organism: Picea glauca (white spruce)
Lineage: Eukaryota; Viridiplantae; Streptophyta; Pinopsida; Pinales; Pinaceae
Source: Rfam
ACAAUGGUGUUUCUAAACACCACCAACUCUAGAUGGAGUUAUUAU